AUUGAACGCUGGCGGCAGGCCUAACACAUGCAAGUCGAACGAGUGGCGGACGGGUGAGUAAUGUCUGGGAAACUGCCUGAUGGAGGGGGAUAACUACUGGAAACGGUAGCUAAUACCGCCUACCCUCCGAUGUGCCCAGAUGGGAUUAGCUUGUUGUUGGGGUAACGGGUCACCAAGGCGCCUAUCCCUUGCUGGUCUGAUGGGAUUACCAGCCACACUGGAACUGAGACACGGUCCAUACUCCUACGGGAGGCAGCAGUGGGGAAUAUUGCACAAUGGGCGCAAGCCUGAUGCAGCCAUGCCGCGUGUAUGAAGAAGUCCUUCGGGUUGUAAAGUACUUUCAGCGGGGAGGCGUUACCCGCAGAAGAAGCACCGGCUAACUCCGUGCCAGCCGCCGCGGUAAUUC
RNAcentral lists this ribosomal RNA (406 nucleotides) under uncultured bacterium. Its description in RNAcentral is "partial 16S ribosomal RNA". It matches the Rfam family "Bacterial small subunit ribosomal RNA", at positions 30 to 526 of the family's 1533-position model. The record is from RNAcentral.